Molecule: ribosomal RNA, 253 nt
Filed under: uncultured bacterium
Lineage: Bacteria
Description: partial 16S ribosomal RNA
Rfam family: Bacterial small subunit ribosomal RNA
Source: RNAcentral
GACAGAGGGUGCAAACGUUGUUCGGAAUUACUGGGCGUAAAGCGCGUGUAGGCGGCCCAGCAAGUCGGAUGUGAAAGCCCUGGGCUUAACCUAGGAAGUGCAUUCGAAACUGCUGGGCUUGAGUUCUGGAGAGGAAGGCGGAAUUCUCGGUGUAGAGGUGAAAUUCGUAGAUAUCGAGAGGAACACCGGUGGCGAAGGCGGCCUUCUGGACAGUGACUGACGCUGAGAAGCGAAAGCAUGGGGAGCGAACAGG